AGAGUUUGAUCCUGGCUCAGAUUGAACGCUGGCGGCAUGCUUUACACAUGCAAGUCGAACGGUAACAGGCCGCAAGGUGCUGACGAGUGGCGAACGGGUGAGUAAUGCAUCGGAACGUGCCCAGUCGUGGGGGAUAACGCAGCGAAAGCUGCGCUAAUACCGCAUACGAUCUAUGGAUGAAAGCGGGGGACCGUAAGGCCUCGCGCGAUUGGAGCGGCCGAUGUCAGAUUAGGUAGUUGGUGGGGUAAAGGCUCACCAAGCCGACGAUCUGUAGCUGGUCUGAGAGGACGACCAGCCACACUGGGACUGAGACACGGCCCAGACUCCUACGGGAGGCAGCAGUGGGGAAUUUUGGACAAUGGGCGCAAGCCUGAUCCAGCAAUGCCGCGUGCAGGAAGAAGGCCUUCGGGUUGUAAACUGCUUUUGUACGGAACGAAAAGGCUCUGGUUAAUACCCGGGGCUCAUGACGGUACCGUAAGAAUAAGCACCGGCUAACUACGUGCCAGCAGCCGCGGUAAUACGUAGGGUGCAAGCGUUAAUCGGAAUUACUGGGCGUAAAGCGUGCGCAGGCGGUUUUGUAAGACAGGCGUGAAAUCCCCGGGCUCAACCUGGGAAUUGCGCUUGUGACUGCAAGGCUGGAGUGCGGCAGAGGGGGAUGGAAUUCCG
RNAcentral lists this ribosomal RNA (666 nucleotides) under Hydrogenophaga sp. KAs3-R15. RNAcentral's name for it is "bacterial SSU rRNA". It matches the Rfam family "Bacterial small subunit ribosomal RNA", at positions 8 to 671 of the family's 1533-position model. Lineage: Bacteria; Pseudomonadati; Pseudomonadota; Betaproteobacteria; Burkholderiales; Comamonadaceae. RNAcentral also lists the same sequence under 1 other name. The record is from RNAcentral.